This 710-nucleotide ribosomal RNA is filed under the name uncultured Serratia sp. RNAcentral describes it as "bacterial SSU rRNA". It matches the Rfam family "Bacterial small subunit ribosomal RNA", at positions 768 to 1478 of the family's 1533-position model. The record is from RNAcentral. Lineage: Bacteria; Pseudomonadati; Pseudomonadota; Gammaproteobacteria; Enterobacterales; Yersiniaceae.
GCGAACGGGAUUAGAUACCCUGGUAGUCCACGCUGUAAACGAUGUCGAUUUGGAGGUUGUGCCCUUGAGGCGUGGCUUCCGGAGCUAACGCGUUAAAUCGACCGCCUGGGGAGUACGGCCGCAAGGUUAAAACUCAAAUGAAUUGACGGGGGCCGGCACAAGCGGUGGAGCAUGUGGUUUAAUUCGAUGCAACGCGAAGAACCUUACCUACUCUUGACAUCCAGAGAACUUAGCAGAGAUGCUUUGGUGCCUUCGGGAACUCUGAGACAGGUGCUGCAUGGCUGUCGUCAGCUCGUGUUGUGAAAUGUUGGGUUAAGUCCCGCAACGAGCGCAACCCUUAUCCUUUGUUGCCAGCGGUUCGGCCGGGAACUCAAAGGAGACUGCCAGUGAUAAACUGGAGGAAGGUGGGGAUGACGUCAAGUCAUCAUGGCCCUUACGAGUAGGGCUACACACGUGCUACAAUGGCAUAUACAAAGAGAAGCGACCUCGCGAGAGCAAGCGGACCUCAUAAAGUAUGUCGUAGUCCGGAUUGGAGUCUGCAACUCGACUCCAUGAAGUCGGAAUCGCUAGUAAUCGUAGAUCAGAAUGCUACGGUGAAUACGUUCCCGGGCCUUGUACACACCGCCCGUCACACCAUGGGAGUGGGUUGCAAAAGAAGUAGGUAGCUUAACCUUCGGGAGGGCGCUUACCACUUUGUGAUUCAUGACUGG